AUUUUCAGGCAGACGUUCACUCCUGUCUGUCACCUGUCCUUUCCGUUUGAAGUUUGGAUAGUUACCAAUCGACGGAAGCAAGAAUUCAAUGGAAAACAAAGUGCAUUAUUCAAAUGAAUUUCACUCGAUCCUGGAAAGAAUAGUGCUGUUUAAAUACAUCAAGUUUCUUCUGUACCAAGAGAGCCUUAACCAGCACCAAGUGUUUGAAUCUGUUUCUCUCACUUAUGCCAAGGACAGUAAAGAAUCAGAGCUGGAGAGAAGAGAUGUUCAAUCCUUCCAUUCCUAUCCCAUCUUUGAUGCCUCAUCAGAGGCCCAGCCAAAGUGGAAAACUCAGCCUGACAGUAACUGUUUGUGAAGUGGAAUGGCCAGAAGAGGGAAAGGGAGGCUCCCCAUUUUACAAAAGAAGAAACUGGGGUCCAGAGAAGUGCCACAGGAAAUUGGUGGCAGAGCUGAUAUGGAAGCUGAGGCCACGCAAUUUGGAGCCCACGAUCUUUCCUCUAGUCCACACUGCCUCUUCUGGAGAUGAGGUACCUGAGGCGCAGAGAAGUGAAGUGACUCCCCC
Ornithorhynchus anatinus (platypus) is the source of this 562-nucleotide long non-coding RNA. RefSeq lists it as uncharacterized. The record is from RefSeq and is a predicted model, not a curated record. NCBI's taxonomy places the organism in Eukaryota, Metazoa, Chordata, Mammalia, Monotremata, Ornithorhynchidae. The transcript has 6 exons.